CCUACGGGUGGCAGCAGUGGGGAAUAUUGCACAAUGGGCGCAAGCCUGAUGCAGCCAUGCCGCGUGUGUGAAGAAGGCCUUCGGGUUGUAAAGCACUUUCAGCGGGGAGGAAGGCGAUAAGGUUAAUAACCUUGUCGAUUGACGUUUCCCGCAGAAGAAGCACCGGCUAACUCCGUGCCAGCAGCCGCGGUAAUACGGAGGGUGCAAGCGAUAAUCGGAAUUACUGGGCGUAAAGCGCACGCAGGCGGUCUGUCAAGUCGGAUGUGAAAUCCCCGGGCUCAACCUGGGAACUGCAUUCGAAACUGGCAGGCUAGAGUCUUGUAGAGGGGGGUAGAAUUCCAGGUGUAGCGGUGAAAUGCGUAGAGAUCUGGAGGAAUACCGGUGGCGAAGGCGGCCCCCUGGACAAAGACUGAUGCUCAGGUGCGAAAGCGUGGGGAGCAAACAGGAUUAGAUACCCUUGUAGUC
RNAcentral lists this ribosomal RNA (465 nucleotides) under uncultured bacterium. RNAcentral's name for it is "bacterial SSU rRNA". It matches the Rfam family "Bacterial small subunit ribosomal RNA", at positions 338 to 795 of the family's 1533-position model. The record is from RNAcentral.